This 435-nucleotide ribosomal RNA is filed under the name uncultured Flavobacterium sp. Its description in RNAcentral is "bacterial SSU rRNA". It matches the Rfam family "Bacterial small subunit ribosomal RNA", at positions 358 to 790 of the family's 1533-position model. Lineage: Bacteria; Pseudomonadati; Bacteroidota; Flavobacteriia; Flavobacteriales; Flavobacteriaceae. The record is from RNAcentral.
GGAAUAUUGGUCAAUGGACGCAAGUCUGAACCAGCCAUGCCGCGUGCAGGAUGACGGUCCUAUGGAUUGUAAACUGCUUUUGUACAGGAAGAAACCCUACUUCGUGAAGUAGAUUGACGGUACUGUAAGAAUAAGGAUCGGCUAACUCCGUGCCAGCAGCCGCGGUAAUACGGAGGAUCCAAGCGUUAUCCGGAAUCAUUGGGUUUAAAGGGUCCGUAGGCGGUCUAGCAAGUCAGUGGUGAAAUCUCCCCGCUCAACGGGGAAACGGCCAUUGAUACUACUAGACUUGAAUUAUUAGGAAGUAACUAGAAUAUGUAGUGUAGCGGUGAAAUGCUUAGAUAUUACAUGGAAUACCAAUUGCGAAGGCAGGUUACUACUAAUUGAUUGACGCUGAUGGACGAAAGCGUGGGGAGCGAACAGGAUUAGAUACCCUAG